GCGGACGGGUGAGUACACGUGGGUAACCUGCCUGUAAGACUGGGAUAACUCCGGGAAACCGGGGCUAAUACCGGAUGCUUGAUUGAACCGCAUGGUUCAAUCAUAAAAGGUGGCUUUUAGCUACCACUUACAGAUGGACCCGCGGCGCAUUAGCUAGUUGGUGAGGUAACGGCUCACCAAGGCGACGAUGCGUAGCCGACCUGAGAGGGUGAUCGGCCACACUGGGACUGAGACACGGCCCAGACUCCUACGGGAGGCAGCAGUAGGGAAUCUUCCGCAAUGGACGAAAGUCUGACGGAGCAACGCCGCGUGAGUGAUGAAGGUUUUCGGAUCGUAAAACUCUGUUGUUAGGGAAGAACAAGUACCGUUCGAAUAGGGCGGCACCUUGACGGUACCUAACCAGAAAGCCACGGCUAACUACGUGCCAGCAGCCGCGGUAAUACGUAGGUGGCAAGCGUUGUCCGGAAUUAUUGGGCGUAAAGCGCGCGCAGGCGGUUUCUUAAGUCUGAUGUGAAAGCCCCCGGCUCAACCGGGGAGGGUCAUUGGAAACUGGGGAACUUGAGUGCAGAAGAGGAGAGUGGAAUUCCACGUGUAGCGGUGAAAUGCGUAGAGAUGUGGAGGAACACCAGUGGCGAAGGCGACUCUCUGGUCUGUAACUGACGCUGAGGCGCGAAAGCGUGGGGAGCGAACAGGAUUAGAUACCCUGGUAGUCCACGCCGUAAACGAUGAGUGCUAAGUGUUAGAGGGUUUCCGCCCUUUAGUGCUGCAGCAAACGCAUUAAGCACUCCGCCUGGGGAGUACGGUCGCAAGACUGAAACUCAAAGGAAUUGACGGGGGCCCGCACAAGCGGUGGAGCAUGUGGUUUAAUUCGAAGCAACGCGAAGAACCUUACCAGGUCUUGACAUCCUCUGACAACCCUAGAGAUAGGGCUUCCCCUUCGGGGGCAGAGUGACAGGUGGUGCAUGGUUGUCGUCAGCUCGUGUCGUGAGAUGUUGGGUUAAGUCCCGCAACGAGCGCAACCCUUGAUCUUAGUUGCCAGCAUUCAGUUGGGCACUCUAAGGUGACUGCCGGUGACAAACCGGAGGAAGGUGGGGAUGACGUCAAAUCAUCAUGCCCCUUAUGACCUGGGCUACACACGUGCUACAAUGGGCAGAACAAAGGGCAGCGAAGCCGCGAGGCUAAGCCAAUCCCACAAAUCUGUUCUCAGUUCGGAUCGCAGUCUGCAACUCGACUGCGUGAAGCUGGAAUCGC
RNAcentral lists this ribosomal RNA (1251 nucleotides) under Bacillus licheniformis. RNAcentral's name for it is "bacterial SSU rRNA". It matches the Rfam family "Bacterial small subunit ribosomal RNA", at positions 98 to 1335 of the family's 1533-position model. The record is from RNAcentral. Lineage: Bacteria; Bacillati; Bacillota; Bacilli; Caryophanales; Bacillaceae.